AGGUCAUGAUGUGAACACUUGCGCAAUACAUCCUUCUAUCUCUCCCAUGCCUCAUAUAAUGAUUUACCCUCAAAAUAGGUGAAGGUAGUGAUAUCAUUCCUUAAUUU
Small nucleolar RNA from Juglans microcarpa x Juglans regia, 107 nucleotides. The record is from RefSeq and is a predicted model, not a curated record. NCBI's taxonomy places the organism in Eukaryota, Viridiplantae, Streptophyta, Magnoliopsida, Fagales, Juglandaceae.